This 465-nucleotide ribosomal RNA is filed under the name Vreelandella stevensii. RNAcentral describes it as "partial 16S ribosomal RNA". It matches the Rfam family "Bacterial small subunit ribosomal RNA", at positions 338 to 795 of the family's 1533-position model. Lineage: Bacteria; Pseudomonadati; Pseudomonadota; Gammaproteobacteria; Oceanospirillales; Halomonadaceae. The record is from RNAcentral.
CCUACGGGGUGGCUGCAGUGGGGAAUAUUGGACAAUGGGCGAAAGCCUGAUCCAGCCAUGCCGCGUGUGUGAAGAAGGCCUUCGGGUUGUAAAGCACUUUCAGUGGGGAAGAAAGCCUUGGGGCUAAUACCCUCGAGGAAGGACAUCACCCACAGAAGAAGCACCGGCUAACUCCGUGCCAGCAGCCGCGGUAAUACGGAGGGUGCGAGCGUUAAUCGGAAUUACUGGGCGUAAAGCGCGCGUAGGCGGUCUGAUAAGCCGGUUGUGAAAGCCCCGGGCUCAACCUGGGAACGGCAUCCGGAACUGUCAGGCUAGAGUGCAGGAGAGGAAGGUAGAAUUCCCGGUGUAGCGGUGAAAUGCGUAGAGAUCGGGAGGAAUACCAGUGGCGAAGGCGGCCUUCUGGACUGACACUGACGCUGAGGUGCGAAAGCGUGGGUAGCAAACAGGAUUAGAUACCCCGUAGUC